AGUUAAUGAACUUGAAUAAGUAUAUAUUUUGAAAAUAUAAUAUAGAUCAUUUGAUCUAUUAACUU
This 65-nucleotide transfer RNA is filed under the name Pselaphinae sp. 12 EF-2015. Its description in RNAcentral is "tRNA-Ser". Lineage: Eukaryota; Metazoa; Arthropoda; Insecta; Coleoptera; Staphylinidae. The record is from RNAcentral.